UUGGUGUAGGGGGUAGGGUUAGGAGUAAAGUAAUUUUCCUCCAUCUGCCUGCCUGUCUCAGCCAGAAGUUGCCACCAUCAGUCCCCUCUUUGGAUUAUAGUUCUAGAAGUCUUUAGUAGAAAGCAGCUGUAUUAUUUAAGGGGUGGGGGGUCCAGGGGUGUCCAAGCUUUUGGUAUCUCUGGGCCAUACUAGAAGGAGAAGAGUUAUCUUGGGCCACACAUUAAAUACACAAACAGUAAUAAAAAUAAAAGAAUCUCAUAAUAUUUUAAGUAGCUUUACAAUUUUGUGUUGGGCUGCAUUCAUAGCCAUCCUGGGCUACAUAUAUGCAGCCUGUGGGCCGUGGAUUGGAUACCCCUGGUCAGGUGGUUAACGCCAAAAAGGAACUGAGUUCAGAUAGAAUAGAAUGACUAAGAGGCUGUUUUAUUGAAGUCAGACCUUAAUUUCAACUCUACAUUGUUAUUCUCUGCUGUGUGGUACUAGGAGGCUGACUCCUGUGGAUUGAGUGGCCCAGGCUCCCCUGCAGACUCGUUGACUAUUGCGGUCAAAAAUCCAAUGGAAGGAGGAUAUCAGAGGGAAGAGGCAGAGGAAGCAGAGAAGAGUAAUUGAGUGUGAAUAUCGCCUACUGCUCUUAAGCAAAUUAUGCCAAAGCUUCUGUGCCUCUUCUAAGAAACAUCUGCCAGAACAGAGGACAAUAGUCAUAUCUGCAAAUUCCCUGUUGUAUUAUUUUGCUAGGGCUGCCAUAAAAAAGUACUACAAAUGGGGUGGCCCAAACAACAGAAAUUAAUUUUCUCACAAUGCCAGAGGUUACAAGUUUGAAACCAAGGUGUCACAGGGUUGGUUUCUUCUGAGGCUUCUCUCCUCAGCUUGUAGAUGGCCACCUUCUCUCUGUGUCCCCACAUGGUCUUCCCUCUGUGCUCCUCUAUGUCCUAAUCACCUCUCCUUAUAAAUACGCCAGUUAUAUUGGAUUAGGUUCCUCUCUAAUGACUUCAUUUUACUUAAUUACCUCUUUAAAGAUUUCAUAUCCAAUUACAGUCACAUUCUGAGGUAUCGAGGGUUAGGAUUUCAGUAUAUGAAUUUUAGAGGUCACAGUUCAGCCCAUAACACCUCUCAUAGUUCAAAAGAUAUAUGUGUGUGCAUAUCUCUACAUAUUACAUAUAUUUGUGUGUCUGUAUGUAGGUAAACAAAAUAUACAUGUAUAUAAUAUUACAUGUUAUAGGUACAUGUAUAUAAUAUUACAUGUUAUAGACAUAUAUAUUUGUUUUCUUUUUUAAGUGAAAAAAUUGGGAGUGAAUGUUUUCUGGUCUCUUAAUUUCUUCUCUGAGCAAAACUAUUAAAUAAGUCAGAGAGCUCCCAAACUUGGAGCGAUAUCUGGUUCUCCCCAGGCCCAACCACAAGCCACAGGCUACUGUCUCUCCCAUAUACGCCAUUGCUAAGUGACUUCACUGAGUUUUGGGCUUGGAGACUAUUCAGACAGGUAAGGAAAAAAAAUUCCACCUUCAGGCUGAAGGCUGUGCAGACAAUAUCUGACCAAUAGUUGAUGUUAAACUAAUUAUGAAAUAAAGAGAGCGUGAAAUUCUGUGAUGAAACUCAGUCUCUGGGAAUCCUUCAAUUGUCACCUCAUUUUGAUCCAAAGAAUCGCAGUAUGCUCUUUCCCCAAAAGGAGGGAAUUCCUAAGUAUGGCAGGUCCUACAUCAGAGACACUUAGGUAAAAGUCCAUAAUCAUUACAAAGGGAAAGGUGGAAUACAUAAAAAGCAUCUAUCCACAGAAUGAUAUCUUGGAUGGUUUAG
Long non-coding RNA from Pteronotus mesoamericanus, 1788 nucleotides. RefSeq lists it as uncharacterized. The record is from RefSeq and is a predicted model, not a curated record. NCBI's taxonomy places the organism in Eukaryota, Metazoa, Chordata, Mammalia, Chiroptera, Mormoopidae. The transcript has 3 exons.